RNAcentral lists this small RNA (1435 nucleotides) under Pan troglodytes (chimpanzee). RNAcentral describes it as "retained intron". Lineage: Eukaryota; Metazoa; Chordata; Mammalia; Primates; Hominidae. The record is from RNAcentral.
GAGUCGCUCGCGCGCCCCGCCGCCCGCCUGGCGACAGCUCCGCCGCGCACGCACAUGGAGGGGAGCGCGAGCCCCCCGGAAAAGCCCCGCGCCCGCCCUGCGGCUGCCGUGCUGUGCCGGGGCCCGGUAGAGCCGCUGGUCUUCCUGGCCAACUUUGCCUUGGUCCUGCAGGGCCCGCUCACCACGCAGUAUCUGUGGCACCGCUUCAGCGCCGACCUCGGCUACAAUGGCACCCGCCAAAGGGGGGGCUGCAGCAACCGCAGCGCGGACCCCACCAUGCAGGAAGUGGAGACCCUUACCUCCCACUGGACCCUCUACAUGAACGUGGGCGGCUUCCUGGUGGGGCUCUUCUCGUCCACCCUGCUGGGAGCUUGGAGCGACAGUGUGGGCCGCCGCCCGCUGCUAGUGCUGGCCUCGCUGGGCCUGCUGCUCCAGGCCCUAGUGUCCGUUUUUGUGGUGCAGCUGCAGCUCCACGUCGGCUACUUCGUGCUGGGUCGCAUCCUUUGUGCCCUCCUCGGCGACUUCGGUGGCCUUCUGGCUGCUAGCUUUGCGUCCGUGGCAGAUGUCAGCUCCAGCCGCAGCCGCACCUUCCGGAUGGCCCUGCUGGAAGCCAGCAUCGGGGUGGCUGGGAUGCUGGCAAGCCUCCUCGGGGGCCACUGGCUCCGGGCCCAGGGUUAUGCCAACCCCUUCUGGCUGGCCUUGGCCUUGCUGAUAGCCAUGACUCUCUAUGCAGCUUUCUGCUUUGGUGAGACCUUAAAGGAGCCAAAGUCCACCCGGCUCUUCACGUUCCGUCACCACCGAUCCAUUGUCCAGCUCUAUGUGGCUCCCGCCCCAGAGAAGUCCAGGAAACAUUUAGCCCUCUACUCACUGGCCAUCUUCGUGGUGAUCACUGUGCACUUUGGGGCCCAGGACAUCUUAACCCUUUAUGAACUAAGCACACCCCUCUGCUGGGACUCCAAACUAAUCGGCUAUGGUUCUGCAGCUCAGCAUCUCCCCUACCUCACCAGCCUGCUGGCCCUGAAGCUCCUGCAGUACUGCCUGGCCGAUGCCUGGGUAGCUGAGAUCGGCCUGGCCUUCAACAUCCUGGGGAUGGUGGUCUUUGCCUUUGCCACUAUCACGCCUCUCAUGUUCACAGGUAAAGUGUGUGGGCUCAGGGACAGCUUGUCCCAGAGGCACUGGGUAAGAACUGGGGGCCGGCCACUCGCUGCCCCCAGAUGUGGUUCAUUCCUGUGUCUUUGGAAACAUAGUUAUGCCCCCAGCCUGCACUGGAGAACAGACAACUAAGAAAUCCCUCAAAAAUGCCAUCUUUGAUACAUGGAAAAUAUAGACCUUCAGUAGCUAAAGUAAUUAACCCACUGUUAUCAACCAUUAAUAUUGUUAGUAAUAUAGAGCAAAAGACAAAAGUGUGGCUCAUACACUAAUUGCUUUACCCCUU